RNAcentral lists this transfer RNA (77 nucleotides) under Faecalitalea cylindroides. RNAcentral describes it as "tRNA-Met". It matches the Rfam family "tRNA". Rfam says of the family: Transfer RNA (tRNA) molecules are approximately 80 nucleotides in length. The record is from RNAcentral. RNAcentral also lists the same sequence under 2 other names. Lineage: Bacteria; Bacillati; Bacillota; Erysipelotrichia; Erysipelotrichales; Erysipelotrichaceae.
GGCUGGGUAGCUUAGAUGGCUAGAGCAUCCGGUUCAUACCCGGAAGGUCGUGAGUUCGAGUCUCACUCCAGCCACCA